RNAcentral lists this ribosomal RNA (279 nucleotides) under uncultured bacterium. Its description in RNAcentral is "partial 16S ribosomal RNA". It matches the Rfam family "Bacterial small subunit ribosomal RNA", at positions 506 to 784 of the family's 1533-position model. The record is from RNAcentral.
UGCCAGCAGCCGCGGUAAUACGGAGGGGGUUAGCGUUGUUCGGAAUUACUGGGCGUAAAGCGCACGUAGGCGGACUGGAAAGUAUGGGGUGAAAUCCCAGGGCUCAACCCUGGAACUGCCUCAUAAACUAUCAGUCUAGAGUUCGAGAGAGGUGAGUGGAAUUCCGAGUGUAGAGGUGAAAUUCGUAGAUAUUCGGAGGAACACCAGUGGCGAAGGCGGAUCUCUGGGGAUGUACUGACGCUCAGGGUCGAAAGCAUGGGGAGCAAACAGGAUUAGAUA